This 329-nucleotide unclassified non-coding RNA is filed under the name soil metagenome. RNAcentral's name for it is "partial contains 5.8S ribosomal RNA, internal transcribed spacer 2, and large subunit ribosomal RNA". The stretch from base 1 to 120 matches the Rfam family "5.8S ribosomal RNA", at positions 35 to 154 of the family's 154-position model. The record is from RNAcentral.
GAUGAAGAACGUAGCGAAAUGCGAUAAGUAAUGUGAAUUGCAGAAUUCAGUGAAUCAUCGAAUCUUUGAACGCACAUUGCGCCCCCUGGUAUUCCGGGGGGCAUGCCUGUCCGAGCGUCAUUACAACCCUCAAGCUCAGCUUGGUGUUGGGCCCCGCCGCCCCGGCGGGCCCUAAAGUCAGUGGCGGUGCCGUCCGGCUCCGAGCGUAGUAAUUCUUCUCGCUCUGGAGGUCCGGUCGUGUGCUCGCCAGCAACCCCCCAUUUUUUUCAGGUUGCCCUCGGAUCAGGUAGGGAUACCCGCUGAACUUAAGCAUAUCAAUAAGCGGAGGA